This 53-nucleotide unclassified non-coding RNA is filed under the name Cinclidotus riparius. RNAcentral describes it as "rps4-trnS intergenic spacer". Lineage: Eukaryota; Viridiplantae; Streptophyta; Bryopsida; Pottiales; Pottiaceae. The record is from RNAcentral. RNAcentral also lists the same sequence under 2 other names.
CUAAAAAAUAAGAAGAUUUUUAAUUUUUUAUAUAUAAAAAAAUUUAUAAAUAA